CAUAUCAAUAAGCGGAGGAAAAGAAACUAACAAGGAUUCCCCUAGUAACUGCGAGUGAAGCGGGAAAAGCUCAAAUUUAAAAUCUGGCGGUCUUUGGCCGUCCGAGUUGUAGUCUGGAGAAGUGCUUUCCGCGCUGGACCGUGUACAAGUCUCUUGGAACAGAGCGUCAUAGAGGGUGAGAAUCCCGUCUUUGACACGGACUACCAGUGCUUUGUGAUGCGCUCUCAAAGAGUCGAGUUGUUUGGGAAUGCAGCUCAAAAUGGGUGGUGAAUUCCAUCUAAAGCUAAAUAUUGGCGAGAGACCGAUAGCGAACAAGUACCGUGAGGGAAAGAUGAAAAGCACUUUGGAAAGAGAGUUAAACAGUACGUGAAAUUGCUGAAAGGGAAACGCUUGAAGUCAGUCGCGUCGUCCGGAACUCAGCCUUGCUUCGGCUUGGUGCACUUUCCGGAUGACGGGCCAGCAUCGAUUUUGACCGCCGGAAAAGGGUAGGAGAAAUGUGGCACCUUCGGGUGUGUUAUAGUCUCCUAUCGCAUACGGCGGUUGGGAUCGAGGAACGCAGCGCGCCUUAUGGCUGGGGUUCGCCCACAUUCGCGCUUAGGAUGCUGGCAUAAUGGCUUUAAACGACCCGUCUUGAAACACGGACCAAGGAGUCUAACAUACCUGCGAGUGUUUGGGUGGAAAACCCGAGCGCGUAAUGAAAGUGAAAGUUGAGACCUCUGUCGUGGAGGGCAUCGACGCCCGGACCUGACGUUCUCUGACGGAUCCGCGGUAGAGCAUGUAUGUUGGGACCCGAAAGAUGGUGAACUAUGCCUGAAUAGGGUGAAGCCAGAGGAAACUCUGGUGGAGGCUCGUAGCGAUUCUGACGUGCAAAUCGAUCGUCAAAUUUGGGUAUAGGGGCGAAAGACUAAUCGAACCAUCUAGUAGCUGGUUCCUG
This 934-nucleotide ribosomal RNA is filed under the name Trametes polyzona. RNAcentral describes it as "eukaryotic LSU rRNA". It matches the Rfam family "Eukaryotic large subunit ribosomal RNA", at positions 39 to 960 of the family's 3401-position model. The record is from RNAcentral. Lineage: Eukaryota; Fungi; Basidiomycota; Agaricomycetes; Polyporales; Polyporaceae.